Long non-coding RNA from Pongo pygmaeus (Bornean orangutan), 858 nucleotides. RefSeq lists it as uncharacterized. NCBI's taxonomy places the organism in Eukaryota, Metazoa, Chordata, Mammalia, Primates, Hominidae. The transcript is spliced from 4 exons. The record is from RefSeq and is a predicted model, not a curated record.
GGAGAUCCAAGAACGCUCUCUUGGGGUCUGGAUCGGUACUCCUUUCCUGUAACAUAUUUCUGGUGACCCAGAUGGGACUGUAGUACAGAAACCCUGACUCAACGGCUACCUUUGGAUACAGGGAUACAUGUGCAGGUUUGUUACAUGGGAACAUUGCGUGAUGCUGAGGUUUGGAGUAUGGAUCCCACCACCCAGGUAGUGAGCAUAUCUGGUCCUCCAGGAUUCUGUGGACAUCUCUUCCUGUGGAAAGCAUAGAGAAGGAACAUUAGUGGGGUGCUGUAAGAAAACUGCCCAUGGCUUCUUUCCCAGCAUAAUAAGGUAAGAAGAAAAUAUUCAAACUCCCAACUAGCAUGGUCAAAAAUAUGCAAAGCCUAUUUAAGGCUUUAUUUAAACCCUGAACUUAAGGUAAGUGGAAUGCCUCAAAAAGACUAUCAAUCCCAUGUUUCUAAAUUGUUAAAAUUUUACUAUGUCUGGAUUCUAAUUACUUUUUGCUAUUUGAAAAUUAUUUUUCUUUUCCUAGCAGAAACACGCCCCAUCUGUAUUUGAAAAUUAACUUGUGUAUUCUUUGUUGAUUUAUAGAGAGCUUUUUCACUUGAUUUCUGGGUGCUAGCAUCAUCAGAAACUUUAUCUCAGCAAUGGGAAAAACUAAGGUGCUUAAUCAGUGAGUUUUCCUGUUAGAACCCCAAAGGAACAGUGGGCCUAAUGGCAGACUCAGAGUCACCUUAAGGCAGAUUGUAUCAUAGCAUAUAUUACAUGCACUUUCUUUGUGCAAGACACGCCUUUUCAGUGUCUCCAAUGAAGUCUUCCAAUGAAGACUUGAUUGCAUUGUGUCCCCCUUCCCAACCCACCCUACCUCAC